GGGUCAGUAGGUUGGUCGUGCCACCGGUACGUACUGGUCUCACUGAUUCCUCCCUCCUGAAGAACCGUAAUGCCAUUAAUUUGGUGUUGCGGGGAAACAGGACUGUUACUUUGAAAAAAUUAGAGUGUUUAAAGCAGGCUAACGCUUGAAUACAUUAGCAUGGAAUAAUGGAAUAGGACGAUCGAUCCUAUUUUGUUGGUUUCUAGGAUUGACGUA
Molecule: ribosomal RNA, 216 nt
Filed under: Glomeromycotina sp.
Lineage: Eukaryota; Fungi; Glomeromycota
Description: partial small subunit ribosomal RNA
Rfam family: Eukaryotic small subunit ribosomal RNA (bases 75-216)
Source: RNAcentral